This 253-nucleotide ribosomal RNA is filed under the name uncultured bacterium. Its description in RNAcentral is "partial 16S ribosomal RNA". It matches the Rfam family "Bacterial small subunit ribosomal RNA", at positions 524 to 776 of the family's 1533-position model. The record is from RNAcentral.
UACGUAGGGGGCAAGCGUUGUCCGGAUUUAUUGGGCGUAAAGAGCGUGUAGGCGGCCGGAUAGGUCCGUUGUGAAAACUCGAGGCUCAACCUCGAGACGCCGAUGGAAACCAUCCAGCUAGAGUCCGGAAGAGGAGAGUGGAAUUCCCGGUGUAGCGGUGAAAUGCGCAGAUAUCGGGAAGAACACCCGUGGCUAAGGCGGCUCUCUAGUACGGUACUGACGCUGAGACGCGAAAGCGUGGGGAGCGAACAGG